CUUGGGCCUGGGGUUUUGAUAGGGCAGACAUCAUCACGGGCUCGGGCAGCAAUCCUGGGAAGACGCGUCCAGAAGCGUGAAGUUCCUCUGGGAAAAGAGAGGGCUCCAGGGUGGCCGCUGUCCAGAAGGCCCUGUGCUGCAGAGCUGCUUCGGGUGUGGGAGGGGCUGCAGAGCUGGGGCACGGGGGUGCUGGCAGGAACUCAGGGCUCUCUGGGUCUGCUCCAGGCUUCCCCCCAGCCUGCCGGCCAGUUGACGCUACCAGUUCUUGGGAGGGGCUUCUGCUGAGAUGAGGUUUCUUCCAGGGGUGAAGGGUGGAGCCAGGUAGAUGCAGCGGUAGCAUCUGAGCUCCUGUCCCAGCUCCAGGAAGGGGAGUUCUGGGUGGAGGAGGAAGAGUUCCUCAGGGAGUUUGACGAGCUCACAGUUGGCUACCCGGUCACGGAGGCCGGCCACCUGCAGAGCCUCUACACAGAGAAGCUGCUCUGCCAUACUCGGUCACUGCCUGGGGCCUGGGUCAAGGGGCAGUCAGCAGGAGGCUGCCGGAACAACAGC
Molecule: small RNA, 549 nt
Filed under: Pongo abelii (Sumatran orangutan)
Lineage: Eukaryota; Metazoa; Chordata; Mammalia; Primates; Hominidae
Description: retained intron
Source: RNAcentral